This 295-nucleotide long non-coding RNA is filed under the name Amborella trichopoda. RNAcentral's name for it is "long non-coding RNA (ATRI_LNC000095)". The record is from RNAcentral. Lineage: Eukaryota; Viridiplantae; Streptophyta; Magnoliopsida; Amborellales; Amborellaceae.
AGAUUCUAUAGCAAAAACCCUGGAAUUGCUUGGGUCUCUCGGUUUUUCACAAGUUUUCAUCUUAUUCAAAAUUCUACAGUCCGACUCAAGCUCGGGACCCUGGUGAAUUCGUGUUAGGGCCGAACUUUUGUUAACUGUCUCAAAAAUAGGGUUAAAGAUGUUUCAGUUUGAAUGGAUUAGUUGUUUUUUUGGUAAGACAUUUGUGGGAUUUAAACAUGACUUAGCGUUGCAAUUGUCAAUAAAAUGGCCUGACUAAUAAUUAGGGUUGGGCUUGAUUAGCUACUCAUUGAUGAUU